Molecule: ribosomal RNA, 445 nt
Filed under: uncultured bacterium
Lineage: Bacteria
Description: bacterial SSU rRNA
Rfam family: Bacterial small subunit ribosomal RNA
Source: RNAcentral
UAUUGGAAGCUUGCUUCCGAUAGGCGUCGACCGGCGCACGGGUGAGUAACGCGUAUCCAACCUGCCCACCACUUGGGGAUAACCUUGCGAAAGUAAGACUAAUACCCGAUGAUAUCUCUAGACGACAUCUGAAUGGGAUUAAAGAUUUAUCGGUGAUGGAUGGGGAUGCGUCUGAUUAGCUUGUUGCGGGGUAACGGCCCACCAAGGCAACGAUCAGUAGGGGGUUCUGAGAGGAAGGUCCCCCCACAUUGGAACUGAGACACGGUCCAAACUCCUACGGGAGGCAGCAGUGAGGAAUAUUGGUCAAUGGGCGAGAGCCUGAACCAGCCAAGUAGCGUGCAGGACGACGGCCCUAUGGGUUGUAAACUGCUUUUAUAAGGGAAUAAAGUGAGUCUCGUGAGGCUUUUUGCAUGUACCUUAUGAAUAAGGACCGGCUAAUUCCGUG